Molecule: ribosomal RNA, 465 nt
Filed under: uncultured bacterium
Lineage: Bacteria
Description: partial 16S ribosomal RNA
Rfam family: Bacterial small subunit ribosomal RNA
Source: RNAcentral
CCUACGGGCGGCAGCAGUAGGGAAUCUUCCACAAUGGACGAAAGUCUGAUGGAGCAACGCCGCGUGAGUGAAGAAGGGUUUCGGCUCGUAAAGCUCUGUUGGUAGUGAAGAACGAUAGAGGUAGUAACUGGCCUUUAUUUGACGGUCAUUACUUAGCAAGUCAAGGCUAACUACGUUCCAGCCGCCGCGGUAAUACGUAGGUGGCAAGCGUUGACCGGGUUUUUUGGGCGUAAAGACAGUGCAGGCGGUUCAAUAAGUCUGAUGUGACAGCCCUCGGCUCAACCGGAGAAUUGCAUCAGAAACUGUUGAACUUGAGUGCAGAAGAGGAGAGUGGAACUCCAUGUGUAGCGGUGGAAGGCGUAGAUAUAUGGAAGAACACCAGUGGCGAAGGCGGCUCUCUGGUCUGCAACUGACGCUGAGGCUCGAAAGCAUGGGUAGCGAACAGGAUUAGAUACCCGGGUAGUC